This 253-nucleotide long non-coding RNA is filed under the name Erythranthe guttata (spotted monkey flower). Its description in RNAcentral is "long non-coding RNA (EGUT_LNC002123)". The record is from RNAcentral. Lineage: Eukaryota; Viridiplantae; Streptophyta; Magnoliopsida; Lamiales; Phrymaceae.
GCAUCUCCAAUUAUGGUCUUUUUGGGCUGUUAAAAGCUAUAAUUUAUGGAUUAUACCAUUUAUCAACAAAAAAUUCAUCUCCAACGGGUGAUGUAAAAUUUAGAUGGCCAUGUAAAAUGAUAACCCCAGCUGCUAUCUAUAGCUGUUCCUAUUCAUGGCUGCUAAAUCAAAAUAAUAUUAAAAUAAUCAAAAAGUAACAAAAGUUAAUACUAUAUUUUAUCAUGAUAAAGUUGAAAUGGUUGAAAAGUAAUAU